GACUACGUGGCCGAGUGGUUAAGGCGUUGGACUUGAAAUCCAAUAGGAUUCUCCUGCACAGGUUCGAACCCUGUCGUAGUCG
Transfer RNA from Allomyces macrogynus ATCC 38327, 82 nucleotides. It matches the Rfam family "tRNA". Rfam says of the family: Transfer RNA (tRNA) molecules are approximately 80 nucleotides in length. NCBI's taxonomy places the organism in Eukaryota, Fungi, Blastocladiomycota, Blastocladiomycetes, Blastocladiales, Blastocladiaceae. The record is from Rfam.